AUACGUAGGGGGCAAGCGUUAUCCGGAUUUACUGGGUGUAAAGGGAGUGUAGGUGGUCUGGCAAGUCAGAUGUGAAAGCCCGCGGCUCAACUGCGGGACUGCAUUUGAAACUGUCAGACUGGAGUGCAGGAGAGGAAAGUGGAAUUCCUAGUGUAGCGGUGAAAUGCGUAGAUAUUAGGAAGAACACCAGUGGCGAAGGCGGCUUUCUGGACUGUAACUGACACUGAGGCUCGAAAGCGUUGGGAGCAAACAGGAUUAGAUACCCUGGUAGUCCACGGCGUAAACGAUGAAUACUAGGUGUCGGGUGGCAAAGCCAUUCGGUGCCGCAGCUAACGCAAGAAGUAUUCCACCUGGGGAGUACGUUCGCAAGAAUGAAACUCAAAUGAAUUGGCGGGG
RNAcentral lists this ribosomal RNA (396 nucleotides) under uncultured bacterium. RNAcentral describes it as "partial 16S ribosomal RNA". It matches the Rfam family "Bacterial small subunit ribosomal RNA", at positions 523 to 918 of the family's 1533-position model. The record is from RNAcentral.